Non-coding RNA from Pan troglodytes (chimpanzee), 148 nucleotides. It matches the Rfam family "Metazoan signal recognition particle RNA". From Rfam's summary of the family: The signal recognition particle (SRP) is a universally conserved ribonucleoprotein. It is involved in the co-translational targeting of proteins to membranes. The record is from Rfam. NCBI's taxonomy places the organism in Eukaryota, Metazoa, Chordata, Mammalia, Primates, Hominidae.
GCUGGGCGUGGUGACGCACACCUGUAUUCCCAGCUACUCAGGAGGCUGAAGUGGGAGGGUGGCUUGAGCCCAGGAGUUCAAGGCUGCAGUGAGCUAUGACGGUGUCACUGCACUCCAGCCUGGGCAACAAAGUGAGACCCUGUCUCUU